AACGAACGCUGGCGGCAUGCCUAAUACAUGCAAGUCGAACGAUCACUUCGGUGGUAGUGGCGCACGGGUGCGUAACGCGUGGGAAUCUGCCCUUGGGUUCGGAAUAACGUCGGGAAACUGACGCUAAUACCGGAUGAUGACGUAAGUCCAAAGAUUUAUCGCCCAGGGAUGAGCCCGCGUAGGAUUAGCUAGUUGGUGGGGUAAAGGCUUACCAAGGCGACGAUCCUUAGCUGGUCUGAGAGGAUGAUCAGCCACACUGGGACUGAGACACGGCCCAGACUCCUACGGGAGGCAGCAGUAGGGAAUAUUGGACAAUGGGGGCAACCCUGAUCCAGCAAUGCCGCGUGAGUGAUGAAGGCCUUAGGGUUGUAAAGCUCUUUUACCCGGGAUGUUAAUGACAGUACCGGGAGAAUAAGCCCCGGCUAACUCCGUGCCAGCCGCCGCCGUAA
RNAcentral lists this ribosomal RNA (449 nucleotides) under uncultured bacterium. Its description in RNAcentral is "partial 16S ribosomal RNA". It matches the Rfam family "Bacterial small subunit ribosomal RNA", at positions 29 to 523 of the family's 1533-position model. The record is from RNAcentral.